AGAGUUUGAUCCUGGCUCAGGAUUAACGCUGGCGGCGUGCCUAACACAUGCAAGUCGAACGAGGUAGCAAUACCUAGUGGCAGACGGGUGAGUAACGCGUGGUCAACCUACCGUUGUGUGGGGGAUAACUAGCCGAAAGGUUAGCUAAUACCGCAUACGUCUCCGAGAGGCAUCUCUUGGCGAUAAAAGGAGCAAUCCGC
This 200-nucleotide ribosomal RNA is filed under the name uncultured bacterium. RNAcentral's name for it is "partial 16S ribosomal RNA". It matches the Rfam family "Bacterial small subunit ribosomal RNA", at positions 8 to 218 of the family's 1533-position model. The record is from RNAcentral.